Long non-coding RNA from Hordeum vulgare subsp. vulgare (domesticated barley), 904 nucleotides. RefSeq lists it as uncharacterized. The transcript is spliced from 3 exons. Lineage: Eukaryota; Viridiplantae; Streptophyta; Magnoliopsida; Poales; Poaceae. The record is from RefSeq and is a predicted model, not a curated record.
CACAUCCGGCCGCCGUUUCACGUCCAGAUCCGGCCGCCGUCGAGCCUGGUUCCAUCCUUCUACCUCCGUGGAGGACUACGAGAAGCGGAUGGCGGAUGAGUGUCCCGGCUAAGGGAUCAGGCCCUCCCUCCUUGCUCGGCGCGCGCAACUAACAAGGUCAGUUACUCCACGACAUGUAGCACGAGAGAGGAGCAAGUAAGCAGGAUGCAGCCAUGAAGCAAGCCGAUGGGAGGAAGGGGAAUGGUAAUUAGCUAAUCACUAAUCUACUUGUGCACUGUGGAUUUCUCAGAUUUCCUUUGAAUCACAUGACCUGACCUGCCUGGCAGACCUCCAUUAUGGAUUUCUCAAUUUUGCAAGAUGGCGGUGUGGGGUCACAUGGGAAAUUAGGCGAUAAGAACAAAUUUGCUCUUUGGUUAAACAAGGAGCUUCGACCGACUUUUGAAGCUACUAUUUCUGGAGAUGAUGAAUGGAUGGCGAUAGCCACUAAUUCUUUAGCUACCACUAACCUUUAUCAAGUGAAGUGUAGUUGCGAGCAGAAGUUCUUUGAACUUUAACAAGGUAUAUGCAUCUCACCGGCUCACCCUGUCCCCUAUUGCAUUUUUUUAUAUUGGGUUUGGGUGUUUAUUUUUCAACGGACUAAGCACAUUUAUUAGAACAUAAUGAUAUGUUAUUCUUAUACCGUUCAUACAUACCAUGGAGGCACUGACCUUGUACGCGUACCAUUUGACAUGCCAAUUAAUUUCUCUUUACUGAAUAUUAUGAUCUUCAUUUGAGGUCAAUUGCAACAGGAUAAUGUACCCGCAUCUAACUUCUUGGGAAGACAUUAUUUGAAAGAUACAUUUUCUGUACUUUUUAUAUCUAUGUUUAGAUAUUUUCCAAUUACUCGGUGUACCUUGGUUUUCAC